GCUGGGCGUGGUGGCGGGCGCCUGUAAUCCCAGCUACUCGGGAGGCUGAGGCAGGAGAAUCACUCGAACCCGGGAGGCGGAGGUUGCAGUGAGCCGGGAUUGCGCCAUUGCACUCCAGCCUGGGCGACAGAGUGAGACUCUGUCUCAA
Unclassified non-coding RNA from Pongo abelii (Sumatran orangutan), 148 nucleotides. It matches the Rfam family "Metazoan signal recognition particle RNA". From Rfam's summary of the family: The signal recognition particle (SRP) is a universally conserved ribonucleoprotein. It is involved in the co-translational targeting of proteins to membranes. The record is from Ensembl. Lineage: Eukaryota; Metazoa; Chordata; Mammalia; Primates; Hominidae.